Long non-coding RNA from Carassius carassius (crucian carp), 278 nucleotides. RefSeq lists it as uncharacterized. Lineage: Eukaryota; Metazoa; Chordata; Actinopteri; Cypriniformes; Cyprinidae. The record is from RefSeq and is a predicted model, not a curated record. The transcript has 3 exons.
GGCAAAAGGGUUGUCAGAAAGAGAUGAUGAUGGAAGGAAAAGGACUUUAAGCAGAGAGGAAAUGGCAGUAUUCUACAAACACUUUUUUGACAAAAACAUUACAAGGCAUGCCAGUUAUAACAGGGAAUGGUUUCGAAGGAAUUUCACCAUUACACUUCUGAUGGUGAGAGUAGCUCUACACAACACAUGGAGGACACUGACUGGACAGACCAAGGCAACUGGAUGAGAGAAAGGCAAAACUACAUGAAAUGCAAAUAAAGACUGUAAAUCAAUCACGA